Molecule: ribosomal RNA, 773 nt
Filed under: uncultured Neocallimastigales
Lineage: Eukaryota; Fungi; Neocallimastigomycota; Neocallimastigomycetes; Neocallimastigales
Description: partial large subunit ribosomal RNA
Rfam family: Eukaryotic large subunit ribosomal RNA
Source: RNAcentral
UAUACAUGACUCUGCGCAUAUCAAUAAGCGGAGGAAAAGAAACUAACAAGGAUUCCCCUAGUAACGGCGAGUGAAGCGGGAAGAGCUCAAAUUUGAAAUCUUAAAGGGUUUCCCUUUACGAAUUGUAGUUUAAAGAAGUGUUUUCUGUUGAGGUUUUGGUAAAAGUUCUUUGGAAUAGGACAUCAUAGAGGGUGAGAAUCCCGUAUUUGACCUUUACUUUCAACUUUGUGAUACACUUUCAAAGAGUCGGAUUGUUUGGGAAUGCAGUCCAAAAUGGGUGGUAAAUUUCAUCUAAAGCUAAAUAUUGGCGAGAGACCGAUAGCGAACAAGUACCGUGAGGGAAAGAUGAAAAGAACUUUGAAAAGAGAGUUAAACAGUACGUGAAAUUGUCAAAAGGGAAGCGUUUGACACCAGUGUUGUUUUUCUGAAAAUCAAUUAAAGAACUGUUUAUGCUAAGUUGUUUAGACUUUAUCAGCUAACUGUUUAGUUUUGAGCUUUUCUUUAAUGCACUUUUCAGUUAACAAGUCAACAUCAAUUUCUUUUGCUGUAAAAAAGCUUGAGGAAGGUGGCUUGAGAUUCGUCUUAAGUGUUUAUAGCCUCUUGCCUAUGCAGUCGGAGAGAUUGAGGUCUGCAGCGUAGAUCCUUCGGGGCUAAAUGCAUUUGUGCUAAGUUAUAGCAUUUUAUAGACAACUUGUUGACUAUGAUUUGUCUUGUAGCUUACUCGCUUAUGUUAUUUUACCUACGCUUAGGAUGUUGAUCUACAGAGCGAGAGU